Molecule: transfer RNA, 68 nt
Filed under: Marmota monax (woodchuck)
Lineage: Eukaryota; Metazoa; Chordata; Mammalia; Rodentia; Sciuridae
Description: tRNA.Ala
Rfam family: tRNA (bases 3-63)
About the family: Transfer RNA (tRNA) molecules are approximately 80 nucleotides in length. Their secondary structure includes four short double-helical elements and three loops (D, anti-codon, and T loops).
Source: RNAcentral
GUUGUGGCUCAGUGGUAGAGUACUUGCCUAGCAUGUGUGAGGCACUGGGUUCAAGUCUCAGCACCACA